Molecule: long non-coding RNA, 12366 nt
Organism: Gallus gallus (chicken)
Lineage: Eukaryota; Metazoa; Chordata; Aves; Galliformes; Phasianidae
Exons: 2
Source: RefSeq, a predicted model, not a curated record
CUCCUGUGGGGCGGCUCACGUGAGGAGCCCCGGUGUUGGUGUUGGUGAGGUGAGGCGCCCCCCUGGCGCUGCUGCGUUUGGCUCAGCGCCGCAGACCACAAACUGCGGAGAACUGGGUGCCUUCCUUUCCUUCCUGCUUUCCUUCCUGCUCCCUGUGGCUCUGUGGCUGCCGUAAUGCCGCGCAGUGUUCUAACUCAGCAAGCUCUGCGACCCUCCCCCUACGUAUAUCUAUCCCUACCUAUGUCCUUGCAUGAAUAUAGGUAUUUUAUUGCUACCUAUUUGCAGCCAGCUACUCAACAUCAUGCCGAGCCUGGCGUCUCCCCACGCCUGUUUGCUCAGCCCGGCCUUAGCAGCACCUGCUGGCUUUUCCGAGUUGCUGGGAUCCCCCCGUGCUGCUCUGGGGUCACGCGAUGCAGGGCUAGCUUUACUCGCCGGCUCAACAAAAGCUCCGGCAUCAUUCAGUGCCUAUUUUGGGCUCCGUGACCUGCAGUGAAUGACAGACGAGCCCUAUCCUGACUGUCACCCCCUCCUUGCUCUUUCCCGCUUGUACCCCCCCCCCCCCCCCCCUCCCCGGCCCAUUCCCACCGCUGUCAUUAAGGGCAAAUCAGGUGUUGAAACCAAAUCCAUUUCCCCAAACCAGCCUGCACCCCCACUGCUCCCAUGCCUUGGGAUGCGGGCACUGCGGUGCCUAUCUACAUCCAUUUGCCCUCCUAUGCAGCUUAGUGCCCACCUGCACAUCUGUGUGCCCACCUACACCUCUGUGUGCCCACCUAAACAUCAGUGUGUCCACAAAGCUGAGCAUGGCCCCCGUGGGGCAAUACAACUGUGUCCAAAAUGCAUCAGGCCCCGUUACCACAGUCUUGUCAGCCACACAUAACGGUCCCGUCCAGUGAAGAGCCACCCGGCGCCAUUUUCUUAAGGCCCUGAUGUGGCCCUAUGGCUGUGGCAGGCAGUGGGUGACAUCUGAGAAGACAUCUGCGUUGAUGAGUGCAGUGUAGUGUUCUAAGGGGAGGCUGGAAAGGGCUUGUUCUCCUUUGAAAGGCAGCCAAGAAAAUGCACAGUAAAGCGAAGCAAAACAAAAACCCUAUGUUUGUUGGAGCUCCCAUUCCUUGAUGGAUCUUCCAGCAAGCAGGAGGCCCAAUGGUGGGAGAUACCUGCACUCUGAGGCCCCAAAAGGUCCCGAGACCUUCUACAAGGUGGUCUUAUAUUGAUCCUACAGAGGCACAAAGGUGUUGGGCAGCCAUGCCAGGGCCUUAAGAAAAUGGCGCCGGAUGGCUCUUCACUGGAAGGGACCAUUAUGUGUGGCUGACAAGACCUUGGUGCUGCUUCAUGGCAAACAUUCCUGCACUGACGUGAUUGAGCCACCAGUCUGUUUGGUGAUUGAAGCUCUAACCACAGGUCAUCCUCCCGUGGGCUUGGUGAAGGAUCUCAGAAGGAUUUUGGUGACUGACAGGGGAGGAGAGCGUUACUCAGGCCUCUCUUGCUCCACCUGGCCAAGUGGAGCACAAGGAGGCAUUUGACUGGCAAGUAAUUGGUAAUUAGAUGUUGUACAUGUGUGCACUGGAGCAUGGUGAACCUGGCAGUGAAAAAGCAUGCAGACUGGUCAUGAGUGAGGUGAAAGGAGCAGUUAUGACCUCCCAUGGGUUCCCCUCGGUGAGCCACUUCUGUAUCUGCUUCUUCGAUCUGUUGCUGGGGGGUCUUGUGGGACUGUAGGGAAUGAGAGCAGGUUAUGGUGCUAGGGGGGGCCUGGUGCCUGCUGACCCAUGGUGCGUGCCAUGUGCCAUGUCCUCAUCCAGCUCUGCCCCACACCAGCCUUCCCUGCACCGUCUCAGCUGGAACAAGCUUGUUUCACUAGAGAGAGCACUUAGUAAAUCCUCUUAAUUAAUGCCAUAUUUGCUUCCCUUCCUUAGUUACAGAGCAACAAAAGAAUUCAGCUGGAACCUUUGCUUUUAGUUUUCUUUGCAGCACUAAAUGAAAUGCCAGAAAACAACUAUUUCUCUUGCCCAAGCCACAUGUAGCAACACAUAAAAAUUCCCUUAUAUCCCCUUUUGGUGUCAAACAGGGAGCCUUGCAUUCCUUUCAAUGACAUGUCACCACUGCUCAGGUUUUGCUGGCGACUCCAUGGGUUGUCUCAGAGCAGUUCCUUGGAUUGUAAAGCUGUCUGUGGAUUGUAAAUCACGUUUAGUGCCUUUUAGCUGUUUCUCAAGGAGAGGCUUUGCUGAAGCGUAGUCCACAGCUUUGGUGCAGUCCUGGAGGCUCCUGUGGGCUCUGGUGGUUCCUCCUCUGGAGCCAGAGGUGGCUGUAGGACGCAGCAUGAGUGGAUGCAACAGGGCUGAGUGGCAUCACAUCCUGGGAGGAGGCUCGGAGGAGAACGAUGGCAUAUUUUCCCCAUUACUCAACAUCUUCCCUCACAGUAAUGUUCUCUUCUGCAGGGGUGGAUGGUCUUGGUGCACACAUGUUGGUGUUUUGCAGCAGCCCCAAGUGAUUUUCUGCCUAGCGCAGCAUGUGAGUAAGAGAUGCUAAAACCCAGCCAGGAACAAAUGAGGUCUGUGUUCCGCUCAUUGGCCUCAGCACUGGGGAGCCUCUCCCAGGCAGGUCUGUCCCUGCCUCCUCUGCUGCUGCAUACCCCAGGCAGCCAAAGCCAUCCACAUCCACGGGCCAAACUUGGGAAUGGAAAAUCACAAAUCUAAAUCAAGGCCUUUCAAUCCUCAGUGAAUUAUUCCAUCCUCGGUAUGUUAUGCUUGUUAUGGGGGCACAUAAAAUCCUCAGUCCAGGAUACACCACUGCUGGGGUAGGCACACCACAAGCAGAAGAUGUCUUCUUUGCUCUCAGAGGCCCCUCGUCAGGGUAAGCACAGUGGGUGGUUGCCUCCAAAAACAGAGGGCAGGCCUGGAAACCAGCUGGCUGUGUGUGUGACUUCUGGGUAGCACGGGGCCAGCAGCUGCCUGAGGAACAGCCUCAGGAGUUGGCAGUGGGACAGCUAACGCUGCUGAAGGAAAGGACACCUGGGGUCACUGCCAGGUUCCUGCCAGGUUCCUUGCACUGAGUUUGCAGCUGGUAUAUGUAAUACAGUCUUCUGCUGUGUCGGGUCCCACCAACGUCAACAGCAUUUGUUACUCUAAAGUUGGGUUUGGACCAUGAUGGAGCUGGUCCUUCAACGCCAUGCAUCCCAACUGUCUGAAAGCACUUUCUUUCUUUUUAUUUCUGUUGUUUCCUUAAGUUACGAUGUGAAAUGUAACUGCUACAUAACUUUGCUGGAGAAACCCAGAAGCAGCCAGGGAUGCUUUACAGGCUCACCAAGGGCAAUGCAAGAUGCUUUGCUUCAUCAAAGAGGCUUUGGCACAAGCUACGGUUUACUGGUGGAAGAGCUCAAAGCUUUCCCUGAAUGCAGACUGCUUGCAGGAGCCAAAUCCUUCAGUUUUCAGUGAAAACCUUGGAAACCAGCUCCUUAGGAAUGACAAAUGGCAGAGUUUGCCAGCUGGAAGCCUCUGGGAAGGGAAGCAACAAGUUGAUGUGCUGCUGUGGGGAAUGUGCCUGCGAGGGGGACAGCGCAGACAUGAGCUGGUGCCGGUCAGGCUGUGCUGGGAGUGAGGGCUGUUCUGCUCCUCAGCUGACUGAAAAAAAUCAAGACCAUAAAGCUGGCAAGACCAUGCAAGAGGUUAGGCUGGCAUGACAUGCUGAGUCCCCAGGGCACGUGCUGCUUUGCCUCCAUGUGCCACCACCAGGUCCUUGCUGGUGCCACCUCCUUGAAGCCCGGUGCCAGAUCAACCUCCUCACCUCCCACCUGGUGGCAAUACAAAGGUGGCUCAGCCCCAGCAGGUGUGUGUCAUGGGCACAGCCUACCCUAUCACCUGCUCUGUCAAUGGAUCUGCGAGGAUCCCACACUUUGAGGACUUUGCUUUGCCUUUCCCAGCAUCCCCUUUCCUGCAUGGUGGUUGCCACUCUGUGGGACACAGUGGCUGUGGGGGGACACAAACCAUGGAGACAGGAACAGGAGAACUUGCCAGGAAAUAAACUGGAGGCAGGAGGCUGCAAUUUUGGUGGGGUCAACUCAUGAUCUCAGCAUAAGGCAGAGAGUAAAGUUGGCCUUCUAGAAAGUUAGAUUAGAAGAUCCCCUAAGCUUUUAUGAGAGACCUCUGCAAAACCAUCAGCAGAAGCAGUCAAAAAGCAAAUUAUAGCCAUUCAUGGGAACUGAAGGAGCUCCAGUGGCUGGCAAGACAGCCUUCCCUUCAAACUUCAUGGCCUUCUUCAAGAGUUUCCUGCUUCACUGCUCGCCUUCUAUUGAGGCCAAACAGGUGGCACCCAGACAACUGUGCCACUUGGCAAUUGGAUCUUUUAAAGCUGAUUUAGGGAGACUUCCUUCUGGCUGAGUAUGGCUUUUGGACACAUCAGAUGGCUUAAAAAAUAAAUGAGAUAUGGUCAACUCAUCACCCAGUGGAACCUGGGGAGAGAGUGGAUUUCUGCAUCGAUCGGCUCUUGCCUAAAAAGAAAGGUACAAUAUAUCUUGGCCUCUCCCCUGUAAUGGAGCAGCUCUAGCAUGUCGCCCUUCGCUUCAAGGUUUGUCAACAGGGCUGAGUCAUUGCUGCAGCUAACUGGAGCCUUCAAGCUGAUUAUGAGGAUUGCAAUAAGUGGAGUUACAAAAUCGCUGGGUCUGAUACUCAGUAAUACAAAAGCCACUUUACGCUGACCUGGACUUAAAAUACCCCAGGAUAAUGUACAGUGCUCUGGGAGCAAAUGGGAUGGAUCCUGCAGCUGGUGGGAGCAGCGUGUACGUGUAUCGACCGCCCCAUCUGCCCUUCAGUGAGCUGAAAACAUCAUUCUGGCCACACAGCACUCAACCUCCCACCAAAUUAAACAAGUACCAAUUCAGGCAGCCAUCUGAAGGGCUGGCUGCUAUUGAUCCCAUAAAAGUGGAAUAAAGCCUUGUGGAGGCCAUUUGUGUGUUCCUGUGGGGGUGUCUCAAGAGAAGACCUCACCCAGUCAGUAAAGCUCCCCACUGGGUCACUUCUGCCAGCACACCAUGGCUGGGCUCUCCCUAAACUUCAGGUGUAUUUUAAACUCAAUGUAAACCUGAAAAGAAGAGCUCAACUUCUUUCUAUCAGUGAUACAGAGAAAGGAAAGGAUCUGUUUUUAAAAUAACUCAAAGCAAUCAUUUUCUCUUGUCCACAGAACAGCUUCUGAUGUGAAAGUGGCAGGGAGGUGUGAUGCUCAUGGCCUGGGGUGACCACCGGUGCAUGCCCUGAGCCGCCCUGCCCUCAUGGAGAGGAGCCCAGCAGCAUGGGAACGGCUGCAUCCCGUGGUCUGGGGAGUCCUGACUCAGAGAGCAGGCAUGCACAGCAAUAAUCCUGGUGGAGAAAGGGAGCUGCAAAGGGAAGCCUUAUCUCCGGGUGAAGUAUAGGUCCAAAAAUACGACAAUAGUCAUGAGACCUGUUGCCCUGGUCACUCUGUGUAAGGUUACCGCCACGAUGACAUUUGGGUGACAGCAUCAUCUGUCAUGGCUUUGAGCACAAGUAGGUGUACUAAGGGGUUAGGUUUCACUGUUGAUAAAAUCAUGCAAGAUUUAGGAGGGUUCAAGGUUGUUUUUCAGCCUGAUCAGUGCCUGAAACCAUGCACCUCUGAGCCCUGAUUGCCACCAUUCGGGUUCCAGAUUGCCUCCCACUCACUUCCCAGGGCACAGAAACCCUUGGAUGUGAGGUGAACCUGCAACAGGGACAAGAAAGUGGAAAAUCUGGCCAAACCAGUAGGCCCAGCUGGCGGUAUCAGGAAAACUGAAUGACCCUGGCUGGUGGAAACCCCGACUCCUGCAGCCUAGAUGUGCUGCCUUUCCCCACCAGCAGCACUUUGGGGAUGCCAGAAUCCUUUGUGGUCAGAUUCGUGCCCUGGUGAAGGAGAGCUCUUAGAAAAGACCUUCCUCCUGAAAUGAGGGGAUUUGCUGAGAGACCUGUAGAAACCACGGGAUAACCACGUGGCAGUGGCACACCCAGCAAGUUGGUGGAGAGGAUGGGAUGGGGCAGGACGAGACGAGAUGGGACGGGAUGGGAUGAGAUGAGUGUGGGUGCCUCCACCAACGAAGCAAAUAGAGCUUGAAUUGCUGCCACAGCCCUUUUGGACGAAAUUGUGGGUCAGGUAGGAUGAUGAACUGCGAAACAUCAGGUAUCUGUGUGGGUAAGAGUGCUUGUGUAUAAAUACACAUCAGUAGGUAUGAGUGUGCUUCUCCCGUGCAUGGGAUGCUGAGAUCCUGAUUUGCAGUUUCUUCUGAAAUGAGGGUGCAGUGUGGAUGCAACCUGCACUGUGCCAGCUGGCUCCUAGCGCCAAACCAGCCUGGUUUUACACCAGCACUGCCAUGCACAGCAAACAUUAAGUGGCCAGGAGCAAUCCCAAACACCGGAUCUUAGUCCCAUUUAUGCUAGCACACCCCCAAAGGGAAUUUUCACCUUCGCAUCUGCUCCCACAAACACACAUAAAUAACAGUAAACCAGCAUGGAAAAAAACAUCCAAGGUUGCUAGGCACGCUGGAGCUCCAGCAUAAACAGCAAAGAGAAAUAAGCUCGGCACUCUGGAUUUGUGAGGUCAUUGGAAGCUUCAGAUCUAAAUGCCAGAGCAGGCAGUAACGCUUGGUGGGAAGGGAAGCGAGUGCCCUGCUGCUGCACAAACAGGGCUAGGCAGAAGGGAUGCUGGGCAGGGAGGGCUUUGGCAAUGCAUCCUUCCCAUUAAAUCACUCCCGCGUGUGUUCUGAGGGGACCUCUGCCCAUCUGAAUGUCUCCCCACAUGAUUUUUUUUCAAGAUAAGGCGAUGGUUUGCAAUUCCUCACAUUCCGCUUUCCGUCUCUUCUUCCAAAUACACCCUCAUAUAUUUUACCACGUCUCAGCAGCACGCUGAGGCAUAAGUGAAAUACUUCCAGUGGCUGUGAGUCGCUGUCCCGCGGUGAACUAACAAACACAGCAAUAAAACCCUUGCACAUUUUUCUUCUGAAGGAGACAGCAUGUCCAUUGUCAUCACUUCUUAAGAACUGCUAUUAUUAGAUCUGGUUUUAAACAGCUGCCUGUUCCCCCGGUACUUUAGUCAGAGCGAUUGCUAAAUAUAUGUUAUUCAUUCUUACCAUAAGUUGUUCUUUUGAUAUUCUGAUAUACGUUAACUUUGUUAACAUCUCAUUUCCAGAGAAAUGAAAAGGAAAUGGCCAGUGCUAUUCAGCUAGCAAGAGCUCGUUUCCUAAUCCUCACAGUGAGGGUAUCAGCAAGCAACUGAGCCGCAUUAGCAUCUACUGGGACCCAACCUGUGUCCUGAUGUAACAUUCCGGGAAGAUACAGAACAAUGCAAAGCAUGAGGAGUUCUACCACUCAUUUGGGAAGACAUUUGGGAAUGCUCAGCAGUGGCUGCACACCCAGAGCUCUGACAGAUCAGCCUCUGCUUACCCCUCUGGAGAGGGACCAUCGCCUCCUGCAUAUCCUUGAGGAAAAGGAAUGAGUUCUGCAGGAAGAAUACUGAGAUCUGUUCUUCCAGAAGGACAACACGAGUGUUGAGAUGGCUUCAAGAUGGGCAGGAGCUCCAAUAUAUGCACAAAGAAAAUAAAAAGAGAUGGAUAAGAUCCACAGCUGGCGCUGCUCAGUCCACCAAUCUGUCCUGGGCAAGAGCCCAGUGAUGGCAUAGCUACAUCUCUUUUAGAUACUCUCCUCGGGCAUCUGGCCCAUCUCAAGGCCAGAUUAAGGCUUACCUAAGCUCUCCUGCUGCCUUAGACAGGUGUGAGAUGGAGUACUGUGACUGAUUCAUCUUUGGCAAAGGACAUGUGUACCUGGGAGAGGAUGGCAUAGGUCUCCUUCCUCUGGGAGGAGGAGAUAUAAAGCUGUUGGGGAAGAGAUGGUUUUCCCGUGUCCCAUCACAUGUGCCUGAUGUUGGAGCACAGCAGAGACCAGUGCUGGUUCUGUUGUUGCAGUCAUUCAACAUCCUGAGCACACCACCAAGAUCCUCCAAAAUCUCUCUCUCUUUGUGCUGGAUAUACACGAAGAGUCAGAGAAGGGAAUGUGCCAUUAUUACACAGUUCAGUGAACAAUUGGUGGCUGACAAACAAUAUGGCAAAGCCUUACUGGUCAGCAUUACCUGUUUUCUGGCUUGCCUGUUCCUUAAGAGAUGACUGAGAGCUUUUCUUGCUCCACGUCCCUGUGUGUGUGGUACAUGGCUGUCCUGUCUUCUCCAAAGCCGAACCUGUUAACAGCAUCCUGCAGCUGAGGAUUUCAGCUCAUUUUUCCACCGGCUAUUUUUUAGAUACGAUUCACUUCUUCUUAUCACCUUGUUUUGGGAAAAGGAGCUGAGGGGCAGAGAGGGGUUAUCUGUCUGUUGCAGGAGAGGAUGUGUCCUGCAGAGCCAGGAACAGAACACGUUUCCUGAGUUUACAACCUAAUCUCAAGUAGUAUUCCUGUUUGAGAAUGGAAGAGAGGGUGAGCAGCAGGGGGCAGGCAUCAAGUUUCUGACACAAAGCGUGUAUGAAGUUCAUUCUUCUCACCCAAGGUAAUCUGCCCCUCAUGCAGACUUGUCCUGGAGGCAGGUGCCCAUCCGGUGCGGCCUUGGCACGGAGCCUCUUUGCAGUGAAAGAGGGAAAAGAGGGGGCUGCUACCUGCCCUGCUCCUCCCCUCCUGGUCCCCUCCCCCUGUAAGUACAGAAGUGGAAGAAGAUUUGCCUUUCUUUUAUUUUCUGGUCAGCUAUUUGAAUUCUCCAGGCUCACAGGUUGAGGGCGAAAAGCUCUUCGUGCUCUAACUCCCUCUCUGCUAGCUCCACCUGGAGGCCUCAAAAAAUGCUCACAUUUUUAAUUUAAUUAUUUAUCCAGUUAUAUUUAUAUUAGGAUAAUGUGGCACUCAGGGCUUCUCUCACUACUGAAACAGUAUUGGCAUUGGCACUGUCUUUUUGUGAGUGAUGCAGGUGAGAUCUUGCUAUUCUCCCCAUGUAAAAGUUAUGUUGGUGAGAAGACCGUGCAGCCAACAAGCUCCAGAAGAGGCAUGGAGACAGCAGCAACUGUGGGUGCAGGAACCACCCAGGCAUAAAUGCCAGCACUGGGUUAAUUAUGCCAAAAUUGGAGUAGCACCAAAGUGACACGUCACAUUCCUGGUGUUUCUCCUCUGAUAGCAAAUCCAUGCUGCAAUCUCAUGUCCAACAGUGCUGCUGCUCUUGAACUCUGAGUCUGCUAACAGCUGAGUGGUGACACAUCUGUUGGUUUAGACUAUUUUAGGAGACAACCUGCCCUCUUUUAGUCAUUUUGCAAUGGGAAAAUUUUGGAUGCAACAAAAUCAUAUCUUUAAAUCAUCUAAACCGUUAUUCCUUAUCUUUUCCUACUGUGUUGCAAUGGGGGCUAACCUGAUCCUUGUACUCUGCUCACCUCCUGCACACCCUUGCAGGUCCUGGGCUUUCAGCAUGGCUGUAAGGCUGGCAAAGCUCAUGCCCUGCUGUGGCUCUCACUGCUUUACAAUCAUUCAUCCAUUUCAUUCAUCCAAAGCUUGCUGCCCUUCUCCAUCCUCAUCCUGGCUGGAGGUGGCAGACAUCCCCAUGUCCCUCUGGGGCCAUAAUUUGUCAAGAUCUCUCAGUGAGGCCUCUCCACCAUCAAGGGUGUCAACAGUUCUUUCCAGCAUAGCAUCAUCCACAAAGCUCAAGUCCUGCAUCCAGGUCAAGAACUGGCCCCACAUGGAGCCUCACAGAACCCCACCGGUGUCCGGCCACCAGCCUGAUGGAACCCCAUCUACUACAACGCUUUGAGCCCGACCCAACAACCAAUUGUACACCUAUUGUGCUCUAACUGUAUGCUGGGCAUUUUGUCUUUGCAAUUGAUGGCUGAGAAGUCCUAGCUGGCUGUGGAUUAUGGGAUGUAUUUCAUCUGCGGUCCACAACUAUGAGUUGGUUUGAGUUCAUGCAGCUCUUAACACAUUCAAGUAAUAAAUCACUCCCACGCAUAUGAUGAGUAUGUGUUUCUGAGAAAAAGCAAGCAAAGGUCUCUGUGUAAAGGCUUUUAUGUCAUUUAGCUACAGAACACUUGAUGACUGUACUUAGCAGACUCAGAGAAGCCUCUGUGCAUUCACAUCUUUGGUAGUAAAUAUACAUGAUAAAAGGUUCUCAAAAACCCAAACAAGAGGGCUUAAUUCUAAGCUGAAGAUUGCAACUCGGCCCACAGUUUGUUUACUUGCAUUUAGAGUACUUUAUUGUACGCAUCCCUCUGCUCCUCUUCUGUUGACACCACAGCACUUAUCGUGCUCCUCUGCAAAGCUGCCGCUUUGGAGAUGUCAGGACGUUUUUUCAACGCGACUUGGUGUUUGAACACAGAUCAGUUACUACUAUUUUCAGCUGAGCCAUAGUUAUGCUCUGAGAUCUGCUGUUUGGAAUGCAAAAUGUGCUUGUAAACCUAAAAAAAAAUCCCCAAAAUGUGGAGAGAAUAGUGCCAAUGAACUCUUCCAGUACAACUAUCCUCAUUUGUGUACAAUAUGGAGCCUUGAGAGCAUGCUGCAUCUGUUCCACUUGCCAGAGUUCUCUUGCCUCCCCUGGCAAGAAUCAUGUUUCAAAUCCUAUUGAUUUUCUAUGACAUGAUGCCUUAUAAAUAAGCCCAGAGUGUGAAUCUCCACUGUUAGCAUCAGCGUAACAUUGAUUUUGAUUCAUCUAUAAGAACUGGAGUUCCUGGCUUUCCCUGCAGUCACUGCAAAAAGAUAACAAGAGGAGUAUCUGCAGUAGAAGAACGAGGCACGAAAAGUUUGAGAUCAAUAUUUUUGUUCAUUGGGGAAAAGCUUCAUUUCUUCUCUCUUCUUGAGGUAAAUGAGAUGACAAGAGAGCGUAUCGAGCACUGAGCUUAAUUAUGCACUUGUUUUGAUAUACCAAGUGACAUAAGCACCACUUCAGCUGAAGUGAGUUUUCUCCUGGAGAGGGAUGCUUUCCAACAGACAUCAACAAAUCCCAAAGAGCCAGAUCUUCCACACAACUUUAAACCUAAACCAAACCCCCUUCUUCCCCGCGCUGCCAUAGAUCUGGCAGUAUGGCAUUGUGCACACUGGCAAGAUUCAGCACUUCUGGCUUUCAGGAACACAUAGGCACUCUUUUCAUCACUUCCAUCAGCCUGUAGCCAUUCCAAGCCAAGUAACGGAGGGAGCUGUUACCCCUGUGUCACCCCGUGUCACCCCUGUGACAUGCAUUGCCUUCUGAAAGGAUGCAGCAUGCUACUUGCUGGACUGAAAGCCUUUGGUUCCCCGGGCUCAUGUUGAAAUGACUUUGCAUGGAGCACCAGAAGGCACUCACAGCAUCACAAGUUUUCCUCACCUCCUGAAUUUCUGUGCAAGUUCCCAAAUGGGCGUGGAAAUACAAACGCAUGACAUUCACUCCUUGUCUUUGCUCCACAGGUAAGCUUCAGAGGGUGCAGAGGAAGGAGAAAAGCCAUGCACUUACAAUAGCAAAAAUGAAGUGUGUGUGCUACUUGCCCGCUCCCAAAGUGCCGCAACAUUUCCCAUGUUCUGAAAUGCUUGCUUUUCCCUUUCAAGUAUUUAUGCUUAGUAGCUCUUUGGUGCAUUACCGUGAUUUCAUUUAACAGAACAGUAGUGUUAUGAGAACAACUUAAUUAAAGAUUAGCUUACUGAUGUCUGCUGACAUUUUAUAUUCUGGUUAGUAAAUCCCCACAGAAGUCCUUCCUUUUGCUUAGAAUUCAGUUAGAGCUUUUAAGCCUUCUCUUGAUUUUGUUUGUUUAAGGAUAUUUAUUCUUUUGGUCAAAAUGGUUUUAUUUUUUCACUCCUCUUUUGAUUGGGAAGGGGACAGACAAAGACUUAGCACUGACUUGGUGUAUGAGAUGCACCUGUGUUGGCAAAAGAGUAGUUACAGUAUAAUGUACUUGAAGUAGCUUCCUGCAGCUAAGUGUCUGUAGGCUGCAGCAAGAAUUCUCAAGCACGUACAUUAAUGUCACAUGCUCUUAACCAAGCAAGUCUUUCUUUGUCUCCUGGGACAAAAGGCUUUGACUGCCUUUGAAGCCACAACCAAAUUAAUACUGAUCUUCAGCACCAACACUGCUCCUGAGAUGUAAUGCUGAAGUAGAAAUCUGCCUAUUGACUUUUCUGUCCAGGUUGACAUACAGAUUUUGCCCAGAAGAGACGAAUGGAAGUGUUAAUUACCAAUAAAGAUUCUCAAAACUAGCUUCCUUGCUGCUAUAAACUACUAUAAACUAUAUCUUUUUUUUUUCCUGGUUAUACUAUUGAGUUCUGCUAGCUACGUAACUAAAACAUGCAAAUAAAGUGUAACGGACUACUCAUAGCCAUUCUGUGACCAAGCAUCUUUUAAUAUUUCUAUUGACAAACAUUGUAAGCAAGACCAGAGUGAACUGUAUAUAUCUGGAGCCUAUCCACUGAUAGACUUGAGUCA